AAACAUGGCUCCCUGCCCAUAAAAUAUAGGGAGUCUGACCUGCCCAGUGACACACGUUAAACGGCCGCGGUACCCUGACCGUGCAAAGGUAGCAUAAUCAUUUGCCUUUUAAUUGAAGGCUCGUAUGAACGGUUUGACGAGGGCCAUGCUGUCUCCUAAAAAAUAUUUAAAAACUAAUUACUAGGUGAAGAAGCCUAGAUAAAACUAAGGGACAAGAAGACCCUAUCGAGCUUAAGCAAAAUCAUAGACAAGCCCGGUAAAUAGUACCACACUAAAAUGCCCGCCCUAUAAUUGACAUCUUUAGUUGGGGCGACUAAGGAAGACAAAAAGCUUCCUCUAACUCUUUAAAAGUAGACAACUUAGGAUCCAAUAAUUAUUGAUCAAAGGAAAAAGUUACCGUAGGGAUAACAGCGUAAUCUUUCUAGCGAGCUCUCAUCAAAAGAAAGGUUUGCGACCUCGAUGUUGGACUAAGAUAUCCUGGGAGUGCAGCCGCUCCCAAUGGUUGGUCUGUUCGACCAUUAAAAUCUUACGUGAUCUGAGU
Molecule: ribosomal RNA, 541 nt
Filed under: Protolira valvatoides
Lineage: Eukaryota; Metazoa; Mollusca; Gastropoda; Trochida; Skeneidae
Description: partial 16S ribosomal RNA
Rfam family: Bacterial large subunit ribosomal RNA
Source: RNAcentral